This 103-nucleotide ribosomal RNA is filed under the name Cyanobacteria bacterium FACHB-471. Its description in RNAcentral is "partial 23S ribosomal RNA". It matches the Rfam family "Bacterial large subunit ribosomal RNA", at positions 2821 to 2925 of the family's 2925-position model. The record is from RNAcentral. RNAcentral also lists the same sequence under 2 other names. Lineage: Bacteria; Bacillati; Cyanobacteriota.
UAAUCCAGUAAGGUCACGGGUAGAACACCCGUUGAUAGGCUCUAAGUGGAAGCCCAGUAAUGGGUGAAGCUGAGGAGUACUAACAGACCGAGGGCUUGACCUC